UACGAAGGGUGCAAACGUUGCUCGGUAUCAUUGGGCGUAAAGCGCACGUAGGCGGCUUCAAAAGUCGGAUGUGAAAUCCCGUGGCUCAACCAUGGACGUGCAUUCGAAACUGCGAAGCUUGAGUAUGGAAGAGGGUCGCGGAAUUCCCGGUGUAGAGGUGAAAUUCGUAGAUAUCGGGAGGAACACCAGUGGCGAAGGCGGCGACCUGGGCCAAUACUGACACUCAGGUGCGACAGCGUGGGGAGCAAACAGG
Molecule: ribosomal RNA, 253 nt
Filed under: uncultured bacterium
Lineage: Bacteria
Description: partial 16S ribosomal RNA
Rfam family: Bacterial small subunit ribosomal RNA
Source: RNAcentral